This 245-nucleotide ribosomal RNA is filed under the name uncultured bacterium. RNAcentral's name for it is "partial 16S ribosomal RNA". It matches the Rfam family "Bacterial small subunit ribosomal RNA", at positions 335 to 577 of the family's 1533-position model. The record is from RNAcentral.
GUCCUACGGGACGCAGCAGUGCGGCCUCUUGGUCACUGGGCUUCCGCCUGAACCAGCCAAGUCGCGUGAGGGAAGACUGCCCUAUGGGUUGUAAACCUCUUUUGUCAGGGAGCAACGCCGGCUACGUGUAGCCGGACUGAGAGAACCUGAAGAAAAAGCAUCGGCUAACUCCGUGCCAGCAGCCGCGGAAAUACGGAGGAUGCGAGCGUUAUCCGGAUUUAUUGGGUUUAAAGGGGGCGUAGGCG